RNAcentral lists this unclassified non-coding RNA (210 nucleotides) under Hevea brasiliensis (rubber tree). Lineage: Eukaryota; Viridiplantae; Streptophyta; Magnoliopsida; Malpighiales; Euphorbiaceae. The record is from RNAcentral.
GAGAUUCUCCAUCCAAAAUAGAAAAAAAAAGUUCUAGGGUUUUCUCUGCUACAAAGACUCUGUUUUUAUCUAAUAUUUAUAGCUGUUUUUCUACUUUUCUUGCAAAAACCCAGCUGGGUUUUGCUAAAUAUAAGCUUAAUCUUUGUUUGGGCGGAGUUUUUGAGGUGGGUUUUUCUUCUUUCUUCGUUUUGCGAUGCAAUCCGAUCUUUA